This 359-nucleotide ribosomal RNA is filed under the name Grammostola rosea (Chilean rose tarantula). RNAcentral's name for it is "partial 12S ribosomal RNA". Lineage: Eukaryota; Metazoa; Arthropoda; Arachnida; Araneae; Theraphosidae. The record is from RNAcentral.
UUGGCGGCCUUUUUUCUUCUCAGAGGAACUCGUAUCUUAAUCCGAUAAUCCCCGUUAUUUCUUUCUUCUUUUAAGUAUUUAUAUCGCCGUCUUUUUGAAAAAAAUCUAAAUUAUUUUCAAAAAAAUCAAAACUAUAACGUCAGGUCGAGAUGAAACUUAUAUUUAAGCGAACCGAGUUACACAUUUUCAUUAUGAACCCUCAAUUUACCAAACCUUAUUUGAAUAAAGGAUUUGAUAGUAAAUCUAAGGUAAUUUCUUAUUUCGAACAAGAUCUCAAAGGUGUACAUAUCGCCCGUCACCCUCAUCAAAAGAUGAGGUAAGUCGUAACACAGUUAAUAUACUGGAAAGUGUAUUAAGAG